Molecule: ribosomal RNA, 483 nt
Filed under: uncultured bacterium
Lineage: Bacteria
Description: partial 16S ribosomal RNA
Rfam family: Bacterial small subunit ribosomal RNA
Source: RNAcentral
GACGAACGCUGGCGGCGUGCUUAACACAUGCAAGUCGAACGCUGAAGCUCAGCUUUUGUUGGGUGGAUGAGUGGCGAACGGGUGAGUAACACGUGAGUAACCUGCCCCCUUCUUUGGGAUAACGCCCGGAAACGGGUGCUAAUACUGGAUAUUCACUGGUCUUCGCAUGGGGGUUGGUGGAAAGGGUUUUUCUGGUGGGGGAUGGGCUCGCGGCCUAUCAGCUUGUUGGUGGGGUGAUGGCCUACCAAGGCUUUGACGGGUAGCCGGCCUGAGAGGGUGACCGGUCACAUUGGGACUGAGAUACGGCCCAGACUCCUACGGGAGGCAGCAGUGGGGAAGAUUGCACAAUGGGCGCAAGCCUGAUGCAGCGACGCCGCGUGAGGGAUGGAGGCCUUCGGGUUGUGAACCUCUUUCGCUCAUGGUCAAGCCGCAACAAUGGUUGUGGUGAGGGUAGUGGGUAAAGAAGCGCCGGCUAACUACGUG